RNAcentral lists this transfer RNA (73 nucleotides) under Goodenia discophora. Its description in RNAcentral is "Velleia discophora partial tRNA-Leu". Lineage: Eukaryota; Viridiplantae; Streptophyta; Magnoliopsida; Asterales; Goodeniaceae. The record is from RNAcentral.
AAAAUUAUAGUAAAAGGAAAAUCCGUUGAUUUCAAAAAAUCGUGAGGGUUCAAGUCCCUCUAUCCCCACCCCA